RNA transcript from Mandrillus leucophaeus (drill), 3761 nucleotides. RefSeq lists it as uncharacterized. The record is from RefSeq and is a predicted model, not a curated record. The transcript is spliced from 2 exons. NCBI's taxonomy places the organism in Eukaryota, Metazoa, Chordata, Mammalia, Primates, Cercopithecidae.
UCAGUGUUUGGGUGCCUUGCCCCUGAGCCAGGGACCGUGUCAUGCCCUGGCCUUGCUGUGAUGCCAAGAGAUAGGGGAGGGAGGGCCGGGUGAGCCUGCCUGAGGAUUGCAGUAGCCAGUGAAGGCAGACAAGCUGGAGAAGUGCUCAGCUGGGACAUUCCUUCCUCCCCGGGUGCUCCCAGCCACUCAGGUCAAGGGGAUCAGGAGGCUGGGACGCUGGGACAAAGAACCUUGUGUUGAUGGCUGCUCUUGGUAGGGGAGGGCAUUCUGUGCUGGGCCAUGUGGGACUUGGGAGCCUGUGCCUGGGAGGUCAUUUGCCCUGGAGCCCCAUCUCCCACGCUAGCUGUCCUCAACACAUCCUCUUUCUUUCUGCCUCUGCUCCUGAAUCCACAAGCCUCCCUCACUACCCUUCUCCCAUCCUUCCCUCUCGCCCUCCAGGGCCUCUCAGUUCCCACCAGCAUGUCUGUGGGAAACCGCGGGGCCAGCCUUGCACGAGGUACCUGCCCUCCCCCUCCCUUGCUGGGUCUCCCCAGUCCUACCAGGCCUGGGAUGUUUAAUUUAGAGGAUACAGUGUUUCCAUGGGGAUUAAUAUUGACAGAACUCACCAGCAGUUGCUGACUUCACACUUCCACGUGGGUCAGCUGGAGACCUUUGGGGCACGAUCUAGGGAAUAUGAGAGGGGAGUGAGCGGUCCCUGCACCCUUGGUCUUGAUGGUGCCUCCUAGCCUCCCUCCAGUUGAGGUUUCAUGGUGGGAGAUGGGAGUGUGGCUGGGGUGGAGGGUUGAGCCUGGCCCUGUGACCCUUGCAUGCUGUAGUUCUAGCUCCAGGCCAGUGGUUCUGAGCCACCAUAGUCAGAAGCAAGUAAGUUGGAUUCAGGGCCUGGCCUUCGGGAGCUGUGCCCCGGUGCUUGUAAGACUGCCGUUUUCUCAGACAGCCUGUGUCCUGAUGCCAGAAGCAGCAGUGGUUUUAGUCAGAUCCCUGGAGCAAGGACUUGGAAGACGUAGAGGACUCGGGGUGGAGGAAAGCUGGGAUUGUCCGGAGGGACAUGGCUGAGGUGGGCCAGUGUCCGAGGUGGGCUUAGCAGCCCCCCGGGGCUGGCUCUCCCUCCAAUUGUGCCUGGGGCUGUCUUCCCUAGCCACCUGGCUCCCCAUUUGUCCACCUCACCAUGGUCUUUUCUUUCUCAUACCCUCCCGGGGUGGCUGCACAGGCAUGACUCGGUGGCUGCUUUCUCUUGCUUGGAUUUGAUAAGGGCUAAGCAUGUGAAACCCAGGGAAGCCUUUUUGGGAUCUGGGUCUCCUUCAAGGGUCAGUCCUGUGCGUCAGCUUUGCAGCCACCUUGGUUAGCCCUAAGGCCGAGCCCACCGCCUGCAGGACGCAGCCAUCCUCACUCCCCUCAUCUCUCUCUCUCCUCCCCUCUGCCUUUCUCUCUCCUCCUCCAGACCAGCUCCUCCACUGUGGCUCUGAGUGCCCCGGGGCUGCUGCCCGGCUCUGCUCCAUCCUCAUACUGCUCCCUUCCUCCUUCUCCUCCUCCCAUACCAUCUGUAUUCCUGCCACCCACCACUAAACCCUCCCCUCGAGGCCAGGGCCACACUCCGGAGUUCCCUUGUACUGAGCAGAGUGGACGAGACCUUCUACCUCCUGUGGCCCCUAGCUGGCUUGAUUUGGCUGGUCUUGGGGUGAUGCCUGAUAUCCUCAACUCAAGGUCUCCCUCUGUGGAGGCUUCUUUGUGGGCAGUGGGCACAGAGAGCCAGGGUGGAGAUUGGAGGCACCUGCCGACCCUCACACGUGAGCUCUCUGGGGCUCCCCACGGCCACACUGUACCCUAUGCUGGGAGCAUAGGUCCCCAAGAGCCUGGGGAGCCCCAGGGGCCACCAGCCAGCCCUUCGUGCCCAGAGGAGGCCUUGGCUGCCACAAGGGAGCAGCCAUGGGCUUCAGAGGUAUUCAGGCCUGAGAGAAUGCCCCCUUCUGGAGCUGCUCGAAGCUUCCAAGAAGUAAUAGAGCCAGCUAUAGUGGCAGUGGACCGGCAGGCUGUCUUCCCAGAUACCUGGACUCUCACGGAGGAACGUGGCCUACAGCAGGAGAGGCCAAGGCCAGAGCCAGGGAGGCUGGGAAGCAGCUCCCCUGCCUCAGUUACCAUGGAGCAGCUAGGUGCAAAGAUGACUGAGAGGGGAAGUGUGGCCAGGCCAACCCAGGGACCUGAAACCCCAGGGAGCCCAGAGGGCACCACCGAAGCUGCCACCCAGGCCGGGAAGGAACAGCCAGAGCUUCCAUGUGCCAUGGCCACAAGCACACCCAGCACCACGGAGAGGAUUUCCACCUCUGGCCAGAUCCGAUCUGUGAUCAGGAGGAGCCGGGAGACGGGCCACGCACACCCCAUGUCCCGGGAGCCCUCCCCUCGCCGCCGGCUGGACCCUGCCACCCUGAGCAGGACCCCAUCCCAGGAGCAGCUCAUCGCGGAGCUGCAGGGGCGGCUAGGCAUCCAGCCUGAGGCAGAGGAGCCGGCGGAGGCAGCGGGGCCCUCUGCCCAGGACUGGCUGACCGAGGGCAUCGUCAUCACCGUGCAGCCACGUGGGAAGCGGGCCGGGGGGCAGCUUGUAGAGAAGGUGGCGAGAAGAUGCCCAGGGCUGGGGCUGGGCCAGAGCCAAGUACCUGGGGUCCAGGUUCUUCUGGCCCCAGUACUGGCCGGAGGGGAGAUCUGGGGAGGGUGGGAGUUUCUUGCCUCCUGUGACCUUGGAAGACUGGCCCCACUCUUGGUGCAGAGUGGGAAGGCCCAGGGGAAGCCUGGGGAGGUGCCCCCACCCCUGUGGGCUGAGCUGGCGAUUUCUUCCUCAUCGCUGUCCCUCCUUUCUUUUCCCCAGGUUGUCUUCCCUCCUGGCUCUCCCAUUCCCCUGAGAAGAACCAUCUCUGUCCUGGCUUCUCCUUCUGUCCCUUUGCUCCAGCAUCGCACAGACGCCGCGGCCAGCAGUUCUUCUCCCCUGCCCAGCCUGCCCACCUCCUCCCCUCUGGGGCCCUCAGCUUACACCUGUGGUUCUUCUGGGGUCCAGAGUGCAGGGGAAGAGCCCCAUGAUGAGGGGGUGCAGGGCCCCACCCUUUCCACUCCUGCACCCUACACCAUGAGGUCCGUGGGCUGCCAGACCGAUGAGGACCCGCUCUUCCCCCCGAUGCAGGCAGGCCUUAAAGGAGCCCCUCCCUUUCUGUCCCCUGUCCUAAUGCCUGAGCCAUCCCCCACUCUGCAGACACACACAUACACACUCAGAUACCCUCCAUCCCUCCAUCCACUAGCCCCAGCACAGUAACCACAGUCCUGCCUUAAACCUUGACCCUGGUAUUCCCCUACUUGGAAGGUCUGCCGCCCUCUUGCUUUCCUGUGGGUUCGCCUGUGUCCACUCCUUCCUCGACUGGUCCUUGGUACUGCCCUGGGCUCACAUCGAGGAAGGAAGCCACUCCAGAAGGAGACCAGAAACCUGUCUCCUCCCUUCCAACCCCCAGGCCCAGUGCCCGGUGAGGCCUCCUCACUGAGUCUGGCCACCUCCCCUUGCCAUGUCCUCUGCCUUUGGUUGACUCCCCUCCCUGUCCUCCUUCUUUUCUCCCUGGGCCUCUCUCUCAGGGCUCUUUUUCUCCAGAUUUUUUUCCCCAAUUUUGGUCCUGCCGGUGGGGGAGAAACCCUCAGAUCUCAUCCUAGAUUCCCUUUUAGUCCAGUGACAAGGUCCCGUAUUCGUUCUUCUUUAAUUUUUAAAAAAGAUUUCUUACCCUCAUCUCUUC